This is a non-coding RNA of Misgurnus anguillicaudatus (oriental weatherfish), 826 nucleotides long. The record is from RefSeq and is a predicted model, not a curated record. NCBI's taxonomy places the organism in Eukaryota, Metazoa, Chordata, Actinopteri, Cypriniformes, Cobitidae.
CUAGCGGCCACCUGUGGAGAGAGAGAAGAAAGAGAGCGAAUAAGUGAAGAACAGACUGUGAAUGUGAUACCUACCCAGAAAGCUGUAUGCAGCAGAGCCGGUGAGAAACACUCGAAGUCUCAGUAACAGUGUCUUUGUGUCCUAGCGGCCACCUGUGGAGAGAGAGAAGGACGAGAGUGAAUAAGUGAAGAACAGACUGUGAAUGUGAUACCUACCCAGAAAGCUGUAUGCAGCAGAGCCGCGGCCACCUGUGGAGAGAGAGAAGAACGAGAGCGAAUAAGUGAAGAACAGACUGUGAAUGUGAUACCUACCCAGGAAGCUGUAUGCAGCAGAGCCGUGGCCGCCUGAGGAGAGAAAGGAGGACGAGAGUGAACAAUCGGAGGACAGACGGUGUAACACGCUACCUACCCCGAGAGCUGUAAGCGGCAGAACCGGUGAGAAGCAUACCAAAUCCACACUAACCGUGUUUCUGUGUCGCAGUAAACACCUGCGGGAGACGUGAAGGCACGUGGGGCGAGGACCCCCUGCCGGACCGAGGAAGGGCUCACGGACAGUGGAAAAUCUCCUACCAGUCACACCUAAAUUGUUCUGCCUCCGGGAAAGAAGAAGGAGGGCGCCACGGUUAACAGGGUCCAGGCCGGAGCCUGACGAUUCCCUCUUUCUCCCGGCUUUGGUGGUUGACACCCCUGUUGCCCUUGCCCCUGUCUGCCCGGGCUGCAGUCUCCCUGGAGGGAGGAGAAGAAGCCUAUUAGUUUUAAAUUCCCCUUUCCCCAAUUCCCCAGUUCUUUUAAAUAUUUAAAUUCAAUAAAGCUUGUUUUAAAUUUUA